ACGAGUUUUGAAGUGGGUUUGAUGCUGGCUUUAUUAAAGGCAUGUGCUCACCCUGCUCCAUCCACUCUACACCUGUGCACCUUUUGAGGCAUAGCCCUCCAAUUUUGGAGCCGUUCCCCACCGUGAUUAAUUUCGCAGGUGGGUUGAGCCGGGGCUUUGCUCUCUACCUUUUACACACCCCAUUACAAAGUUUUGUAGAAUGUUGAACCCAAUAAAUUAAUA
RNAcentral lists this unclassified non-coding RNA (222 nucleotides) under uncultured Basidiomycota. RNAcentral describes it as "sequence contains ITS1". The record is from RNAcentral. Lineage: Eukaryota; Fungi; Basidiomycota.